Long non-coding RNA from Hemicordylus capensis (graceful crag lizard), 2102 nucleotides. RefSeq lists it as uncharacterized. The transcript is spliced from 3 exons. NCBI's taxonomy places the organism in Eukaryota, Metazoa, Chordata, Lepidosauria, Squamata, Cordylidae. The record is from RefSeq and is a predicted model, not a curated record.
GGGUGGGGGGACAAUUAGGCGGGCUAGCCACCAGGAACCAUACAGCUCCCAGCGGUUCAAAUGCAUGGAGGGAACCAGGCUGGGCUCACUUAGCAAAAUUUCCUCCACGGGUGUGAAUAGCCUCCUUACUUUAUCUGCAACUCAGCUGCUAAAUUGUGUGGCAAACAUCUAAUGUCUACAAAACACUUACCAUGCAAUACACCACUAGGUAACAAUUUGGUUUCUAUUGACUGUAGACCUGGUGCACCGCCCAAAAUUAAUCUCCAUCCUCGCUAAUAUAAGGGUGACCGUGUGUUUCUUCCCUUCUGUUCUGCACUUCACAGGGCCUCAUGUGAUCUGGCUAGUGCUGGAGACAGAAUGGAAUUAUUGCUGAUCGUUUCUUUUCACAGAGAGCAGUGGUGCUUCUCUGUCCUGGUAGCCUUUUCUAAUUAAGUCUGUGCAGAACUUUCUACAUCCCAUCUUAAUGACUGGGGCUUUUUCUCAUGCUAGCGUGUAUGGGUGUUUCUUAUUCCUCCAUUAAAACAAACCAAAAACAAAACACCGGGAGAGAUGUUUAACCUUAAGCCUAAUGAAGACCGGUGAUUAACUCAAAAGCUUGCUCCUGCCUUUGUGACUUUUGAAAUUGGUAUUACCCUGCUGAUGCUUUUGGAUCCUCACAUUCUGACUUUCCUCAUCCUAUGUUAAUUAUAGUCACUGAUGGGAUGGGGAAAGUUACCACACAUCACCGUGGUCAAUGUCUGUAGGCACAAGGACAGAAACUAUGUGGAAGCAGCUGCAGGGAGGGUGAAGAAAUGGCAAACCAGCUCAUAGUGAGGAAAUUCAAUGGUGCUGUUGUGGGUGAACCACCCAAAGUUGUUCAUGGUCUUAGGGCCAAAUGGUUCAGUUGUGCUUACUCCCAGGAAAACCUGCUUAGAACUGCAGCAUAAAUGUUGCCUUUUAAGGUGUGAAGUUGUCCCAGACAGACAUUGCUACUAGCCUUUAUGCUGAUGUGCUCCAAACUUCAGGUUGUCAAGGCACACUUUUUUUGCUGAAUUAAAAUUGGAGAGGCACAAUUCAUAAUUCUUACAAUUCAUAAUUCUCCAGGUCCUUCCACAUAACUAGUUUCUGUCCCUGAGCUCUAAAUGUCUACAAGCAUUCGCCAUGCAAUGUGUUGCAACUUCUUUUAUCUGGUCAGUGGCUCCACUAACAGGAGAGGAACAGUCACAAUGUGAUGAUUUGAAAGCAACAGCAGGGUAAUUCAACUUUAUCAGGACCAACUAAGAAGUCACAAAACAGGAACAAGCUGUUGAGUCUUUAUUAGGCUUAAUGUUAAGCAAUUGUUUUUGUUUGCUUUUCAAAUGUGGAGAGAAUAAGUGCCCAGGGACCCCACCCCAUUUCUUCAUGAGUCACAGUUUCAAGUCCCCCGCCCCCAGUUGAAGGAGACAAGCCCAGAGCAUGACUCACACAGAAUUGCAAAUGGCCAUAUCCCCCAAGGGUGGGUGAGUAGUUCUAUUGUGCCCUUGCAUCUGGGGAUUGAAUUAUGCAGUCACUCCUAAUGCAGAUAGAAGACAGAAAAACCCACCCCAUCUGGUAACUGAUUAGAAGGCCAGGCUAAAGCAAUGGACUAUGCAGUGGACAAGGCAUACCCGUGGCUAAUCCCAUUCGUGGCAACUCUCGCGAGAGUUCUCGUGAAGCAGCUGGAUAGCGAUGGGGGAGAAAAUGGCGGUGGUGGCAGCUGGCCGGCAGGCAAGCAAAGAAAAUGGCAGUGAAUGGUGGCAGCCAGCUGGCCAAAGAAAACUAUGAUGGGACCGAGUGGGCAGGAAGACAAAGAAAAAAACAAGUCCAGAGCAUGACUCAUGCAAAAUUGCAAGUGACUGUCUUCUACUUUAAGGGUGAGUAGUUCCUAAGCUCCAGUUUAAGCUGACUUGGCACCACUGCUCCCUGUAAAAAGGAUUUCCAGAUGACCUCAGCAGCAACUCCCGUUAUCUCUAGCUGCAAUGGCCUUUGGCUGGGGAUUAUGGGAAUUGUAGUCAACAGGGAUGCCAAGAUUAUGUUAACAGGGAACACUGCUUAGCACCUGUUUUUCUUGGCCCAUUAAAAAACCAUGGUAUCAUCAAGUUUUA